This 70-nucleotide transfer RNA is filed under the name Duringlanis perugiae. RNAcentral describes it as "tRNA-Trp". It matches the Rfam family "tRNA". From Rfam's summary of the family: Transfer RNA (tRNA) molecules are approximately 80 nucleotides in length. Lineage: Eukaryota; Metazoa; Chordata; Actinopteri; Siluriformes; Auchenipteridae. The record is from RNAcentral.
AGAGAUUUAGGAUAAUAUAGACCAAAAGCCUUCAAAGCUUUAAGUAGAAGUGAAAAUCUUCUAAUCUCUG